ACAUGUUGGGAACUUUCCAGAGAUGGAUUGGUGCCUUCGGGAACCCAAACACAGGUGCUGCAUGGCCGUCGUCAGCUCGUGUCGUGAGAUGUUGGGUUAAGUCCCGUAACGAGCGCAACCCUUAUCCCUAGUUGCCAGCGCAUAAUGGCGGGAACUCUAGGGAGACUGCCGGUGACAAACCGGAGGAAGGUGGGGAUGACGUCAGGUCAUCAUGGCCCUUACGGCCAGGGCUACACACGUGCUACAAUGGCGCGCACAGAGGGCUGCAAACCCGCGAGGGGGAGCUAAUCUCACAAAACGCGUCGUAGUCCGGAUCGCAGUCUGCAACUCGACUGCAUGAAGUUGGAAUCGCUAGUAAUCGCGGAUCAGCAUGUCGCGGUGAAUACGUUCCCGGGUCUUGUACACACCGCCCGUCACACCAUGGGAGCGGGUUUUACCAGAAGUAGGUAGCUUAACCGCAAGGAGGGCGCUUACCACGGUAGGAUUCGUGACUGUGGGAAAGUCGUAACAAGGUAACC
RNAcentral lists this ribosomal RNA (518 nucleotides) under uncultured bacterium. RNAcentral's name for it is "bacterial SSU rRNA". It matches the Rfam family "Bacterial small subunit ribosomal RNA", at positions 984 to 1501 of the family's 1533-position model. The record is from RNAcentral.